Molecule: ribosomal RNA, 279 nt
Filed under: uncultured bacterium
Lineage: Bacteria
Description: partial 16S ribosomal RNA
Rfam family: Bacterial small subunit ribosomal RNA
Source: RNAcentral
UGCCAGCCGCCGCGGUAAUACGGAGGGGGUUAGCGUUGUUCGGAAUUACUGGGCGUAAAGCGCGCGUAGGCGGACUAUUAAGUGAGAGGUGAAAUCCCAGGGCUCAACCCUGGAACUGCCUCAUAAACUAUCAGUCUAGAGUUCGAGAGAGGUGAGUGGAAUUCCGAGUGUAGAGGUGAAAUUCGUAGAUAUUCGGAGGAACACCAGUGGCGAAGGCGGCUCACUGGCUCGAUACUGACGCUGAGGUGCGAAAGUGUGGGGAGCAAACAGGAUUAGAUA